RNAcentral lists this ribosomal RNA (862 nucleotides) under uncultured bacterium. RNAcentral describes it as "bacterial SSU rRNA". It matches the Rfam family "Bacterial small subunit ribosomal RNA", at positions 21 to 901 of the family's 1533-position model. The record is from RNAcentral.
GGCUCAGGACGAACGCUUGCGGCGUGCCUAAGAAAUGCAAGUCGAGCGAGUUGCAGCAAUGCAGCUAGCGGCGAACGGUCGCGUAACACGUAAGCAACCUACCUUCAAGACCGGGACAACAUCUCGAAAGGGGUGCUAAUACCGGAUGUGGUUGUGUUGGGACAUCCCGAUGCAACUAAAUCAGGCAACUGGCUUGGGGAUGGGCUUGCGGCCUAUCAGCUAGUUGGUGGGGUAACGGCCUACCAAGGCGACGACGGGUAGCUGGUCUGAGAGGACGGCCAGCCGGACUGGGACUGAGAUACGGCCCAGACUCCUACGGGGGGCAGCAAUUAGGAAUCUUGCACAAUGGGCGAAAGCCUGAUGCAGCGACGCCGCGUGGAGGACGAAGUCUCUCGGGAUGUAAACUCCUUUUGUUCGGGACGAAGAAUGUGACGGUACCGAACGAAUAAGCCUCGGCUAACUACGUGCCAGCAGCCGCGGUAAUACGUAGGGGGCGAGCGUUGUCCGAAGUUACUGGGCGUAAAGCGCGCGUAGGCGGGCCGUUAAGUGAGAAGUGAAAGGCUGGGGCUCAACCGCAGCAGUGCUUCUCAUACUGGCGGUCUUGAGGGCGGUAGGGAGAGGUGGAAUGGCUGGUGUAGCGGUGAAAUGCGUAGAUAUCAGUCGGAACACCGGUGGCGAAGGCGGCCUCUUGGGCCGUACCUGACGCUGAGGCGCGAAAGCCAGGGGAGCGAACGGGAUUAGAUACCCCGGUAGUCCUGGCCGUAAACGAUGGAUACUAGGUGCUGGGGGUAUUGACCCCCCCAGUGUCGUAGCUAACGCAUUAAGUAUCCCGCCUGGGGAGUACGGCCGCAAGGUUGAAACU